Cervus elaphus (red deer) is the source of this 481-nucleotide long non-coding RNA. RefSeq lists it as uncharacterized. The record is from RefSeq and is a predicted model, not a curated record. The transcript is spliced from 5 exons. Lineage: Eukaryota; Metazoa; Chordata; Mammalia; Artiodactyla; Cervidae.
CAUGAGAGCUGUGAGUUAGGUUUUGUUGGAGCAAAAUGAGGACUCCAGCCUGGGAGACAGCAUUUCUGAUAGCUCUGAGAAACUGCUCCAAAGAGGAACUGCUGCCUGACUUACAGUUUUGUUCUUUUAUCUCUGAAAACAUUUCAGUGUCUUGUUAGGGGAUGAGCACCUGCACAUCUGCAUUAUGUUUGUGGAUGCAUGCAGUAAGCCUCCUUCCAGAGGGCUCCGGACUUCUUCAGGGCCCUGCAAGAGGAGCAGACAAAAUCAUGAGCGGGAAUCUGCAUGGAAGCUGUCUCGCCACCUUUAUGAAAUGUCAAGCUUCAUCUCCCUUUGACAGAUUUCACCCAGUUUGCUUCAAGGAAAUGGGAAGAUAAGGAUUGUGGCCCCCUGGGACUCACCCGUGCAGAAGUACAGGUGCUGCUUCUCGUAGUUGAUGAAUUUGAUUUUGUUCCUGCCAUACUGAAUGAAGAGAGAAUAAAAC